AAAAAAGUGAGGGCUAGAGGUGGCGGCUGGCUUGACCGCAGUGGCUAAUCAAUCUGACUAGUGUCAUUCAACUAAAGAACUGUUUCAAUUGUUAUUUUCUUGGUCGGGGUUUUUCCUCCUGGGUUUUUCUUUAUUUUCCUUUCCCGGUUGUCUUCGGUUUGUUUCCUUCUUCCUUUCCAUUGCCUCCUGCACCCUGUUCCCGUUCUGAUGGAGAAAGGAGUUUUUUCUUUUUUUCCAUACGGAGUUUCCAGAACUGAAUUGUCUCGCCAUCAAAGGAGAUAUUUCCUAUUGGUGAAACUGGCGAGCCAUUCCGGUUUUACAAAUUAUCGCGUACUUCCUACAUGGCAACGAAGUGGUAGGACAAAGACUGCUUAUUUUGCAACCUUAGCAAAUGCGGCUGAUUUUCCUACGGAUAAUUCAGCCACACGGACACUGGACGGAGUCAAACUCUUGUCAUUGCCUGAGUAGCAAAUUUAGGAAGUUUCUCUUUGGAUGUAUUUUUUGGAAAUUCAAUGGUAUUAUUGUUUAAGUUAAAUUUUUGUUGUAUAUUUUUCCAUUUAUCUUUUUUCUGACAGGCUAAUAUAGCUGAACAUAAAGAACACUUAUUUUCCAUUUA
Long non-coding RNA from Triplophysa dalaica, 616 nucleotides. RefSeq lists it as uncharacterized. The transcript is spliced from 2 exons. NCBI's taxonomy places the organism in Eukaryota, Metazoa, Chordata, Actinopteri, Cypriniformes, Nemacheilidae. The record is from RefSeq and is a predicted model, not a curated record.